Molecule: small RNA, 74 nt
Filed under: Xanthomonas arboricola pv. populi
Lineage: Bacteria; Pseudomonadati; Pseudomonadota; Gammaproteobacteria; Lysobacterales; Lysobacteraceae
Description: sX9 sRNA
Rfam family: Xanthomonas sRNA sX9
Source: RNAcentral
AUGUACCACGCGCGCACUUCGGUUCUGAGCGCGCACGCACUCACCUGACGACCGCUCGCUACGUUUUGUUAGCC